UACAGAGACUGCAAGCGUUAUUCGGAUUCACUGGGCGUAAAGGGUGCGCAGGCGGUCGUGUGUGUCAGGUGUGAAAUCCCGGGGCUUAACUCCGGAACUGCGCCUGAAACUACACGACUAGAGCAUUGGAGAGGGAAGUGGAAUUCAUGGUGUAGCAGUGAAAUGCGUAGAUAUCAUGAGGAACACCAGAGGCGAAGGCGACUUCCUGGACAAUUGCUGACGCUCAGGCACGAAAGCAUGGGGAGCAAAAGGG
RNAcentral lists this ribosomal RNA (253 nucleotides) under uncultured bacterium. Its description in RNAcentral is "partial 16S ribosomal RNA". It matches the Rfam family "Bacterial small subunit ribosomal RNA", at positions 524 to 776 of the family's 1533-position model. The record is from RNAcentral.